GUCGAACGCGCAGCGAGAGGUGCUUGCACCUUUCAAGCGAGUGGCGAACGGGUGAGUAACACGUGGAUAACCUGCCUCAAGGCUGGGGAUAACAUUUGGAAACAGAUGCUAAUACCGAAUAAAACUUAGUAUCGCAUGAUAUCAAGUUAAAAGGCGCUACGGCGUCACCUAGAGAUGGAUCCGCGGUGCAUUAGUUAGUUGGUGGGGUAAAGGCUUACCAAGACGAUGAUGCAUAGCCGAGUUGAGAGACUGAUCGGCCACAUUGGGACUGAGACACGGCCCAAACUCCUACGGGAGGCUGCAGUAGGGAAUCUUCCACAAUGGGCGCAAGCCUGAUGGAGCAACGCCGCGUGUGUGAUGAAGGCUUUCGGGUCGUAAAGCACUGUUGUAUGGGAAGAAAUGCUAAAAUAGGGAAUGAUUUUAGUUUGACGGUACCAUACCAGAAAGGGACGGCUAAAUACGUGCCAGCAGCCGCGGUAAUACGUAUGUCCCGAGCGUUAUCCGGAUUUAUUGGGCGUAAAGCGAGCGCAGACGGUUGAUUAAGUCUGAUGUGAAAGCCCGGAGCUCAACUCCGGAAUGGCAUUGGAAACUGGUUAACUUGAGUGUUGUAGAGGUAAGUGGAACUCCAUGUGUAGCGGUGGAAUGCGUAGAUAUAUGGAAGAACACCAGUGGCGAAGGCGGCUUACUGGACAACAACUGACGUUGAGGCUCGAAAGUGUGGGUAGCAAACAGGAUUAGAUACCCUGGUAGUCCACACCGUAAACGAUGAAUACUAGGUGUUAGGAGGUUUCCGCCUCUUAGUGCCGAAGCUAACGCAUUAAGUAUUCCGCCUGGGGAGUACGACCGCAAGGUUGAAACUCAAAGGAAUUGACGGGGACCCGCACAAGCGGUGGAGCAUGUGGUUUAAUUCGAAGCAACGCGAAGAACCUUACCAGGUCUUGACAUCCUUUGAAGCUUUUAGAGAUAGAAGUGUUCUCUUCGGAGACAAAGUGACAGGUGGUGCAUGGUCGUCGUCAGCUCGUGUCGUGAGAUGUUGGGUUAAGUCCCGCAACGAGCGCAAC
Molecule: ribosomal RNA, 1061 nt
Filed under: Leuconostoc citreum
Lineage: Bacteria; Bacillati; Bacillota; Bacilli; Lactobacillales; Lactobacillaceae
Description: bacterial SSU rRNA
Rfam family: Bacterial small subunit ribosomal RNA
Source: RNAcentral